This is a long non-coding RNA of Sphaerodactylus townsendi, 123 nucleotides long. RefSeq lists it as uncharacterized. Lineage: Eukaryota; Metazoa; Chordata; Lepidosauria; Squamata; Sphaerodactylidae. The transcript has 3 exons. The record is from RefSeq and is a predicted model, not a curated record.
AAUAUUUAAAAGUGACUUUCAGUUCAGUUCAGUAACCUUUAUUAGGCAUUUUCAAAAGAAGAAAAGACAAAGUGUCAAAACGUAAUACAAGGCUAAGCUUAGCAAAACCUGAGGUAUUUUUCU